GCCAAGCAGAGGCUGCAGUAGCUUUUCAAGGGCAGUCCAUUUUCCAUCUGCUGGGGCUUUAUUCAUCUCAUGACUUACCUGGAACUAAAGAAGGGUAUAGAGCCUGGGAUGUCUGAACCAAUCGUUUUGAGCCUGCUUUGGAGAUAAAGGACUAUUUGAUCAUCUGGAUUUGGAAGCCAUCAAUGGGCAGGAACAACAUGGAGGAGCCAGGAUGGGCAAAAAGAACACUGUUCUCCAAAUAUCAGGCAUCUGUGUAAUGAUUGCUGAUUGCUACUUCUGAUCACAGAAGGUCCCACAAAGAGGUGUCAAUUUGACUGGAUUCAGGGACAUACAGAUAACUUCUGGUGAAGCAUUGUUUCUAGAUAUGUCUGUGAGGGUGUUCCAGAAGAGACUGGCAUUUGAAUAACUGGACUAGGAAGAUCCCCCCUCACCCAGUGCAGGCCCAUACCAUCCAGUUGACUGAGGGCCUGACAGAACAAAAAGGCAGAAGAAAGGCAAAUUUGCUCACUCUCUCUUCUGGAACUGGGACACCCAUCUUCUCCUGCCCUUGGACAUCAGAACUCCCGGGCCUUUGGACUCCAGGACUUGCACCAGAUACUCCCCAAUUUUCAAGCUGUCAGCUUAGGACUGAGAGUUACACCCUUGGCUCCCCUGGUCCUCAGGCCCUUGGAUUUGGACUGAGCCACGCUACCAUCUUCCCUUGUUCUUCAGCUUGCAGACAGGAUAUUGUGGGACUUCUCAGCCUCCAUAAUCAAGUGAACCAAUUCCCAAAGUAAAUCCCUUCUGAUAUAUCUAUAUCUCUGUCUAUCUAUCUGUUUAUCUAUCUAUCUCUCUGUCUAUCUAUAUUCUAUUGGCUCUAUUUCUUUAGAGAACUAUGACUAAUACAGGUUCUGAGUGCUUUCACUUUUAAAAUGAAGUUUGGUAUAAGGCCACCUUCAAACCUAUUCUCUACCCUUUCCCUUCUACUCAAUGUUCUGGGGUCCUAUGGACUACAUCAACAGGUUU
Molecule: long non-coding RNA, 1005 nt
Filed under: Pan troglodytes (chimpanzee)
Lineage: Eukaryota; Metazoa; Chordata; Mammalia; Primates; Hominidae
Description: long non-coding RNA NONPTRT013143
Source: RNAcentral